RNAcentral lists this ribosomal RNA (784 nucleotides) under Amynthas jiriensis. Its description in RNAcentral is "12S ribosomal RNA". The record is from RNAcentral. Lineage: Eukaryota; Metazoa; Annelida; Clitellata; Crassiclitellata; Megascolecidae.
AACAGUUUGAUUCUGACUGAAAAAUUAACUAUUUACCAACCAACAUACAUGUAAAAUAUUUAAGCCCGCCUCCGACCAUCUCUAAAUGACUUAAUAACUGUAUUUAGAUACUCUCAAUACAAUAGAGCGCCACAGUAGAUAACACUUUUCAAUUUGAGAAAUCAAGAAAAGAGUAUGGUAUAAGGGCUGGCAAAAUUCGUGCCAGCUGCCGCGGUUAGACGAUAAGCCCAAGUUAAUAAAAUAUAAACUAAUUAAUGAUAAUCUAAACAAUAAUAAAAGUCUAAUUUUAAAGUCCUUGACUCAUACUUAUCAAAAAACAAUAAAAUCAUGAACUAAAACAUGGAUUAGAUACCCAUUUAUUCAUGACAUAUAUAACAGUUGAAUAUUACGAACAACAGUUUAAAAUUCAAAGAUUUUGGCGGUGUCUUAUAAAACCAGGGGAACCUGUCUCAUAACUCGAUAAUCCACGUAUACUCAACCUUCUUUAGACCUCAGCAUGUAUACUGCCGUUGUAAGUAUACCUUUAAAAGUAAGUAUACAACCAUGAUUAAAUACCACGUACAUCAGGUCAAAGUGCAGCCGAUAAGAAGGAGAUGAUGGGUUACAACCCUAAAUAGGAUAAUCAACUAAGAAAUAAAAAAUCUUACGAAAAUGGACUUGGCUGUAAUUAAUUUAUAAGUUAAAGAAAUGAAUAUAACUCUAAGACAUGUACACAUCGCCCGUCACUCUACCCUAAAGGAUAGAUAAGUCGUAACAAAGUAGGUGUAAUGGAAAUUGCACCUGU